CGAUAAAUAGUUUAACAAAAUACUAAUUUCGGAAAUUAACGUCAAAGACCUCUCUUUUUUAUCGA
This 65-nucleotide transfer RNA is filed under the name Engaewa walpolea. Its description in RNAcentral is "tRNA-Pro". The record is from RNAcentral. Lineage: Eukaryota; Metazoa; Arthropoda; Malacostraca; Decapoda; Parastacidae.